This 244-nucleotide ribosomal RNA is filed under the name uncultured bacterium. RNAcentral's name for it is "partial 16S ribosomal RNA". It matches the Rfam family "Bacterial small subunit ribosomal RNA", at positions 14 to 249 of the family's 1533-position model. The record is from RNAcentral.
GUAUCCUGGCUCAGGAUGAACGCUAGCUACAGGCUUAACACAUGCAAGUCGAGGGGCGAGCAUGAACUUAGCUUGCUAAGUUUGAUGGCGACCGGCGCACGGGUGAGUAACACGUAUCCAACCUGCCGAUGACUCGGGGAUAGCCUUUCGAAGAAAGAUUAAUACCCGAUGGCAUAGUUCUUCCGCAUGGUAGAACCUAUUAAAGGAUUUCGGUCAUCGAUGGGGAUGCGUUCCAUUAGGUUGG